UCUCUUUCUCUCUCUCAACCGAUAAUAAAUUUCAAGGCAAAAGUCAAUUUGAAAAAGAGAAUCCAUAAUUUUUAAUAUUUUUAAUAUAAUAUAUUCUCUUUUAUUUCUGAAUCUCAUAUUAUUAUGUUCUAAACGUAUUUCUCUUAUAACGCACGGCAUUCUUGGAUAUUCAUCUCGUCUUAUCCUUUUAUUAUAAUAUCUUUUCUUUUCAUUUUAUAAUAAUUUAUCGCGACAUUUCUUGCGAGACGUCAAAGCUGCCGUUAAUCCGUCCAGUAAAUAUUUCUUAAAGCGAUUAGAAAUUAUGGGCAUUAUUGUUUAUAGAGAACCGCAGAAGCAAGAUAUAUAUGCAUGAUGACAUUACAUCUUGUAACUUCAAUCUAGAUGUAUUACAUGUUCUUUUAAUGUGGCUGGCUUUUUUUACUAAAUUCUCUUACAAACAACACAAAAGUUUAAAAGGUGUCGUAAAGAUGCCUAAAAAGCUAUUGACAUUUUUACCGUAAUAAACUUUUGUAUUGUUUCGAUUGACAUAUAUAGAAGAUGUGUAAGGCAGUACUUGCAUAAAGAAUAAGCUUUUGCGUGAAUCACAUGCGCUGAUAUUACAUACAUCGAAACUUAACGGAAACGCUCGUGUGUGUGAAAAACUAAAAAUAUUACACUUAUGAUAUAUAUUUAAAAAAUAUUAUAAACGUAGAUGACAAUAGUGAGCUUUUUUGUAAUGAGCAGAACCGUGACAUGUAAAUGUUUUUAUUCAAGAUGACGUCGAUGCUUAUAAUCGGCAUAAUGCCAAUGGUACAAGAAAAAAGAAAUUUUUAUAAUGCACAUUACACAACGUCACUUUAUCAUACGCAUCGUUAACCCUCUCAUGCAUUUGGUCCUAACAUUUAACAGACAAAUUCACUUCAUAUGACAAUUAAAAAUGACAUGUUAGAUAUUGCUCUUAUACAUAUAUUGCCCUUUUAAAUGACGAGUCCUCAUUUGAGAUCUUUUCAAGCCUUUGAAACAACGGGAGCUACAAAAUCGGAAGCAGAGAGUUUACUGCUUAUUUAUUCCUACACAAAAUUCUGAACUGCAGCUGUGAAAAAAUGUAUUCUGCAGCAUACUUUUCUAAUUAUUCGGGCGCUGUUUGACAAAGUGGAUCGAAUCCGCAGAUUUAAUAGAUCACGAGUCGAAUCAUCUAAAUCGUGGAGUUGCCAUCACAUAUUUAAGGUAAAUAUAUUUAAGAUAUUGCGACAAAUAUAUAUCGCAAAUAUCUAUUAUGAAUUCUUCUUUUUUCGUUAAGGAGAAUCAUUGGUGCAUGAGAAAGUUCAACGAUUCGACGAUUCGCGAUAUGUUAAGGACUUUGUGUCCCGAUAAUCUUGGCGUUUUCUUUCUAUGUGAGUCGCAUGGAAAUCAUGAAAGCACCGUCUCGUCUCAAGCGACGCGAUCAACGUCCGAGUGCAACGAUUAAACGCCUCGGAUAACAAUGGGUUCGCGUUGCCCGCGUUUUACCAGCGGGGAGUCGAGUGAUCUGGCCGUAUAUCGUCCUCCUAUCAUUUCCUUUGGAGGCGAGAGCCAAUAAGUAAAGAAGAAGAAGAAGAGACCAGCGGGGAGUCAUCUGGUUUAGGCUACGCGGCGGAUGCGACCUCGAAAGUUUUUCCGGACCGCCGGAAUUAAACCCCGCAGUGUAUUAGCUAAUGUAUAUUACACGGUGUCCCGAACCGUCGCGACGACCCGUUGCGACGGGAGCUUUGACUAAGUAAAUAUUGACAUUAACAUAUCGCGAGAGAGAUACAUAUUACUUUGUAACGUUCGGUGUUCAUCAGUCAGUCGUCCAGGCCGAAGCGACGGAUGGACGGUGGAUCGUUCACCAUUCGAACGAUGCAAAAAAGAAAAAAAAAAAAGAGGACAUAAUCUCGACCGGCCGGUCGCUUCGAACGGAACAACGAGAUUUCAAGACAUCAGACAGCUACUGAACGCACUCCAAUAUCAUAAUAUAUUCAUGAUGUAUUCAAUUCGAAAAUGUCAGAAGCCAUACUUGUCGCCAACUGCACACGUGUUCGAAAAUACGAAUGAAGAAAUAAACGCACAAAUGCCGGAAUUUAAAAGAUUAGACAUCUCAA
This is a long non-coding RNA of Trachymyrmex septentrionalis, 2099 nucleotides long. RefSeq lists it as uncharacterized. Lineage: Eukaryota; Metazoa; Arthropoda; Insecta; Hymenoptera; Formicidae. The transcript has 4 exons. The record is from RefSeq and is a predicted model, not a curated record.